RNAcentral lists this ribosomal RNA (253 nucleotides) under uncultured prokaryote. RNAcentral's name for it is "partial 16S ribosomal RNA". It matches the Rfam family "Bacterial small subunit ribosomal RNA", at positions 524 to 776 of the family's 1533-position model. The record is from RNAcentral.
UACGUAGGGCGCAAGCGUUGUCCGGAAUUAUUGGGCGUAAAGAGCUCGUAGGCGGUCUGUUACGUCCGCUGUGAAAACCCAGGGCUUAACCCUGGGCUUGCAGUGGAUACGGGUAGACUAGAGGCAGGUAGGGGAUACUGGAAUUCCUGGUGUAGCGGUGAAAUGCGUAGAUAUCAGGAGGAAUACCUAUGGCGAAAGCAGGUAUCUGGGCCAUCACUGACGCUGAGCUGCGAAAGCUAGGGGAGCAAACAGG